GCUUACGGCCACACUGCCUGGUUCACGCCCGAUCUCGUUUGAUCUCGGAAGCUAAGGUAGGUUGGGCCUGGUUAGUACUUGGAUGGCAGACCGCCUGGGAAUACCAGGUGCUGUAAGCU
Ribosomal RNA from Scophthalmus maximus (turbot), 119 nucleotides. Lineage: Eukaryota; Metazoa; Chordata; Actinopteri; Pleuronectiformes; Scophthalmidae. The record is from Ensembl.